RNAcentral lists this ribosomal RNA (478 nucleotides) under uncultured bacterium. RNAcentral's name for it is "partial 16S ribosomal RNA". It matches the Rfam family "Bacterial small subunit ribosomal RNA", at positions 28 to 523 of the family's 1533-position model. The record is from RNAcentral.
GACGAACGCUGGCGGCGUGCUUAACACAUGCAAGUCGAACGGUAAGGCCCUUCGGGGUACACGAGUGGCGAACGGGUGAGUAACACGUGGGUGAUCUGCCCUGCACUUCGGGAUAAGCCUGGGGAACUGGGUCUAAUACCGGAUAGGACUCCUGCCUGCAUGGGUGGGGGUGGAAAGCUUUUGUGGUGUGGGAUGGGCCCGCGGCCUAUCAGCUUGUUGGUGGGGUGAUGGCCUACCAAGGCGACGACGGGUAGCCGGCCUGAGAGGGUGACCGGCCACACUGGGACUGGGAUACGGCCCAGACUCCUACGGGAGGCAGCAGUGGGGAAUAUUGCACAAUGGGCGCAAGCCUGAUGCAGCGACGCCGCGUGAGGGAUGACGGCCUUCGGGUUGUAAACCUCUUUCAGCACAGACGAAGCGCAAGUGACGGUAUGUGCUGAAGAAGGACCGGCCAACUACGUGCCAGCCGCCGCAGUAA